This is a long non-coding RNA of Columba livia (rock pigeon), 1400 nucleotides long. RefSeq lists it as uncharacterized. NCBI's taxonomy places the organism in Eukaryota, Metazoa, Chordata, Aves, Columbiformes, Columbidae. The transcript has 4 exons. The record is from RefSeq and is a predicted model, not a curated record.
AGCUCACUAUCAUGGCAGCUUUGUAACUACACUGCCAGGGCACUUUCUGUCCCCAGUGCCCUGAGGUGGGUUGGGGUGCUCCCUUUAUACUAGGCACAUUGCUUGACAUGACUGCUACUGCUGAGGGGGUAGUUAGGCAGCUUCUCUAGCUUCCCUGGGCAGUAUGCAUUGUAGACCUCAUAGUGGGGAGUGCCGUGUGGGCACACUUCGUUUCCGCUGAGGAGUUGGGGCGGUGACCUGCCAGCCAGGACCACCAGCUGCGGGAACAAUUGCCUCUCAGCAGUCAGACUAGCUGACUUGACUUUUACUUUGCUCACCAAUAGGUAUUUUAAGGACACAGGCCGUGGAAGAAGAGUGAAAAACUAUUCUAAUUUACUGUGUGACUGACUCAAAAGUGCAAACAGGGUGACACACCAUAUGUGACUUCAAUACCAAAGACUACAGGACACAAUAUUUCCUGAGCCUCUAUUCUAAAAGAUAGGAGGAAGAGGCCACUGCAUUCCCAAACAGCAACAUAUGAACCAGGAACAAUUCUUCUAGGAAGUUAGACAAUGGAUGUAUUGGGUCAAACUAACAGAGCUUUAUGAGGAUUUGACUCUGAAGGUGCCGAAUUGCUUCUCUGCUGUCGUAAGAGGCAGGGGAUAAACCAGCUCUCAGUCUCCCUUUUGUAUGUCCUCGACAGGAUGAAACAAAAACCACCAACGCAAUCCACAUCAAGAGGCUUUAGAUCCACUUUCCAGCACUGGCCUUUAUUUUUAUCUUUAUGCAUUUAAAGAUUAAAGGUCCUUGUCACAAUUGUGUUGGUUGGUAUUUAUAACUUUAGUAAUGCUUCCAUGUAUCUUUUUCCCAAUGCUUCAGUGGACAGAAUACUCUGUGAGUGGAAGUAAGGGUUCAUUUUCCUUCACUCUGUGUAAAGAUUCAAACCUCUCACUCUCCAAAAGUUUUCCUUAGUCACCAGCCUAUAAAACAAAAUACUUUUGUAGGGCUCCUGGGGCUGCACUGUUGAUCUGUGAGUGUGUGCAAAGCCAGUUCAAGUUGUAAUGCUCACUUGCAACUGCUAUAGAAACCAUGUAGGUGACAGGUGUCGGUGCACACCUGUGUUUCCUGUGGAAUAUGUUGUCAAAAUAUGGCUAAGGUGCGCUCGCUGUCAGGAAGUUAGAAAAUAGACCUGGCACCACCAUUUUUAAGUUACCUUAAAAAUAUGAACAUUUCAGUAAAAAAGGAAACAGCUUGAUAUUUGGCUGGGGAAGAUAAAUUAGAUUCUAGUAUUAUUCCCUAUCGUUUGUAUUUCUACUCUGUGAUGUAGACCCUACUGGGAUCAAGCACUGUGACGCUCUGUCUGGGUUUCAAAUCUCAGAAUUCUGAAUACCGCUCCUAGUAACUGAAAGCAUCUGGAAAUG